This 24-nucleotide non-coding RNA is filed under the name Gallus gallus (chicken). RNAcentral also lists the same sequence under 5 other names. The record is from RNAcentral. Lineage: Eukaryota; Metazoa; Chordata; Aves; Galliformes; Phasianidae.
UCUACAGUGCACGUGUCUCCAGUA